UGAGGAAUAUUGGUCAAUGGGUGCAAGCCUGAACCAGCCAUCCCGCGUGAAGGAUUAAGGUCCUAUGGAUUGUAAACUUCUUUUGUAUAGGGAUAAACCUACCCUCGUGAGGGUAGCUGAAGGUACUAUACGAAUAAGCACCGGCUAACUCCGUGCCAGCAGCCGCGGUAAUACGGAGGGUGCAAGCGUUAUCCGGAUUUAUUGGGUUUAAAGGGUCCGUAGGCGGACUUAUAAGUCAGUGGUGAAAUCCUGUCGCUUAACGAUAGAACUGCCAUUGAUACUGUAAGUCUUGAGUAUAUUUGAGGUAGCUGGAAUAAGUAGUGUAGCGGUGAAAUGCAUAGAUAUUACUUAGAACACCAAUUGCGAAGGCAGGUUACCAAGAUAUAACUGACGCUGAGGGACGAAAGCGUGGGGAGCGAACAGG
This 424-nucleotide ribosomal RNA is filed under the name Acidobacteriota bacterium. RNAcentral's name for it is "Acidobacteria bacterium partial 16S ribosomal RNA". It matches the Rfam family "Bacterial small subunit ribosomal RNA", at positions 355 to 776 of the family's 1533-position model. The record is from RNAcentral. RNAcentral also lists the same sequence under 1 other name. Lineage: Bacteria; Pseudomonadati; Acidobacteriota.